GCCAGACUCCUACGGGAGGCAGCAGUGGGGAAUAUUGCACAAUGGGGGGAACCCUGAUGCAGCGACGCCGCGUGGGUGAAGGAGCACCUCGGUGCGUAAAGCCCUAUCGGCAGGGAAGAAAAGCGAACAGGUUCGCCUGGACGGUACCUGACUAAGAAGCCCCGGCUAACUACGUGCCAGCAGCCGCGGUAAUACGUAGGGGGCAAGCGUUAUCCGGAUUUACUGGGUGUAAAGGGAGCGUAGACGGCAGAGCAAGUCUGAAGUGAAAGCCCGCGGCCCAACUGCGGGACUGCUUUGGAAACUGCCCGGCUAGAGUGCUGGAGAGGUAAGCGGAAUUCCUAGUGUAGCGGUGAAAUGCGUAGAUAUUAGGAGGAACACCAGUGGCGAAGGCGGCUUACUGGACAGUAACUGACGUUGAGGCUCGAAAGCGUGGGGAGCAAACAGGAUUAGAUACCCGAGUACGC
RNAcentral lists this ribosomal RNA (464 nucleotides) under uncultured bacterium. Its description in RNAcentral is "bacterial SSU rRNA". It matches the Rfam family "Bacterial small subunit ribosomal RNA", at positions 330 to 794 of the family's 1533-position model. The record is from RNAcentral.